This 25-nucleotide non-coding RNA is filed under the name Rattus norvegicus (Norway rat). The record is from RNAcentral. Lineage: Eukaryota; Metazoa; Chordata; Mammalia; Rodentia; Muridae.
UGACACGUCUCCUUCAGGCACGCUU